RNAcentral lists this ribosomal RNA (301 nucleotides) under uncultured bacterium. Its description in RNAcentral is "partial 16S ribosomal RNA". It matches the Rfam family "Bacterial small subunit ribosomal RNA", at positions 509 to 809 of the family's 1533-position model. The record is from RNAcentral.
CAGUAGCCGCGGGAAUACGGAGGAUCCAAGCGUUAUCCGGAAUCAUUGGGUUUAAAGGGUCCGUAGGCGGUAUUGUAAGUCAGUGGUGAAAGCCCAUCGCUCAACGGUGGAACGGCCAUUGAUACUGCAGGACUUGAAUUAUUGGGAAGUAACUAGAAUAUGUAGUGUAGCGGUGAAAUGCUUAGAGAUUACAUGGAAUACCAAUUGCGAAGGCAGGUUACUACCAAUUGAUUGACGCUGAUGGACGAAAGCGUGGGUAGCGAACAGGAUUAGAUACCCGCGUAGUCCCUGUCUCUUAUAU